RNAcentral lists this ribosomal RNA (492 nucleotides) under uncultured bacterium. RNAcentral's name for it is "partial 16S ribosomal RNA". It matches the Rfam family "Bacterial small subunit ribosomal RNA", at positions 30 to 507 of the family's 1533-position model. The record is from RNAcentral.
AUUGAACGCUGGCGGCAGGCCUAACACAUGCAAGUCGAACGGCAACACGAUAAGGGUUUGCGUUUACCGGUCGCGAGGGGCGGGCGGGUGAGAAGUACAUCAGACUCCCCUAUGUCGUGGGGUAUCUCGUGGAAACGGUUACUAUAAUAGCGCAUACUCCCAACGGCAGAGAGCAGGAGAUCAUGGGCCCUUGCCCGAGUGUGUGAGCCGAUGUCGGAUUAGCUAGUGGGUGGGGUAACGGCUCACCAAGGCGACGAUCCGUAGCUGGUCUGAGAGGAUGAUCAGCCACACUGGAACUGAGACACGGUCCAGACUCCUACGGGAGGCAGCAGUGGGGAAUAUUGCACAAUGGGCGCAAGCCUGAUGCAGCCAUGCCGCGUGUGUGAAGAAGGCCUUCGGGUUGUAAAGCUCUUUUAUUGGGGAAGAAAAGAAGCAGGUUAAUACCUGGACGUAUUGACGGUACCCAAAGAAGAAGCACCGGCUAACUUCGUG